UUCCGGUUGAUCCUGCCGGACCCGACUGCUAUUUGGGUGAGGAUAAGCCAUGCGAGUUGAAUGGGAAACCUAAAAAUCCCAUGGCAAACUGCUCAGUAACACAUGAUCAACUUACCCUAUAGAGGAAAAUAACCUCGGGAAACUGAGGAUAAUGUUCCAUAGUUGAAUCGGCUUGGAAAAGUUUUUCAAUAAAAGGGAUAAGGAGAAUGGUUCUUAUCUGCUAUAGGAUAGGAUCGUGCUCGAUUAUGGUUGUUGGUGAGGUAAAGGCUCACCAAGCCGAUAAUCGAUAGGGGCCGUGAGAGCGGGAGCCCCGAGAUGGGUACUGAGACAACGACCCAGGCCUUACGAGGCGCAGCAGGCGCGAAACCUCCGCAAUACACGAAAGUGUGACGAAGUUACCCAAAGUGUUCUAUUUAGAACUGUGGUAGGUGAGUAAUGUCCCCUACUAGAAAGGAGAGGGCAAGGCUGGUGCCAGCCGCCGCGGUAAAACCAGCUCUUCAAGUGGUCGGGAUAAUUAUUGGGCUUAAAGUGUCCGUAGCCGGUUUAGUAAGUUCCUGGUAAAAUCGGGUAGCUUAACUAUCUAUAUGCUAGGAAUACUGCUAUACUAGAGGGCGGGAGAGGUCUGAGGUACUACAGGGGUAGGGGUGAAAUCUUAUAAUCCUUGUAGGACCACCAGUGGCGAAGGCGUCAGACUGGAACGCGCCUGACGGUGAGGGACGAAAGCCAGGGGAGCGAACCGGAUUAGAUACCCGAGUAGUCCUGGCCGUAAACGAUGCAUACUAGUGAUGGCACGGCCAUGAGCCGUGUCAGUGCCGUAGGGAAACCGUUAAGUGUGCCGCCUGGGAAGUACGGUCGCAAGGCUAAAACUUAAAGGAAUUGGCGGGGGAGCACCACAAGGGGUGAAGCCUGCGGUUCAAUUGGAUUCAACGCCGGAAAUCACUAGUGCGGCC
RNAcentral lists this ribosomal RNA (950 nucleotides) under uncultured archaeon. RNAcentral describes it as "bacterial SSU rRNA". It matches the Rfam family "Archaeal small subunit ribosomal RNA", at positions 1 to 940 of the family's 1478-position model. The record is from RNAcentral.